UCGUGAGACAGUUCGGUCCCUAUCUGCCGUGGGCGCUGGAGAAUUGAGGGGGGCUGCUCCUAGUACGAGAGGACCGGAGUGGACGCAUCACUGGUGUUCGGGUUGUCAUGCCAAUGGCACUGCCCGGUAGCUAAAUGCGGAAGAGAUAAGUGCUGAAAGCAUCUAAGCACGAAACUUGCCCCGAGAUGAGUUCUCCCUGAGACUAUAAGUCUCCUGAAGGAACGUUGAAGACUACGACGUUGAUAGGUCGGGUGUGUAAGCGCAGCGAUGCGUUGAGCUAACCGAUACUAAUGAACCGUGAGGCUUAACCUUACAACGCCGAAGCUGUU
RNAcentral lists this ribosomal RNA (329 nucleotides) under Lacticaseibacillus paracasei. RNAcentral's name for it is "bacterial LSU rRNA". It matches the Rfam family "Bacterial large subunit ribosomal RNA", at positions 2619 to 2925 of the family's 2925-position model. Lineage: Bacteria; Bacillati; Bacillota; Bacilli; Lactobacillales; Lactobacillaceae. The record is from RNAcentral.